Regulatory RNA element from Corynebacterium aurimucosum ATCC 700975, 121 nucleotides. It matches the Rfam family "L31-Corynebacteriaceae ribosomal protein leader". The record is from Rfam. Lineage: Bacteria; Bacillati; Actinomycetota; Actinomycetes; Mycobacteriales; Corynebacteriaceae.
ACUCGGGCACGAUCCUUUCACGCUCCCAGUUGUCAUCGGGCGCCGUCAUAGCGACGGCGCGCGAUAGUGCGAAUAGGGAAGCGUUGCGGAAGGAACCGACCCGUAGUUCAACCCUGAGGGA